GGCCUGAGGGAGAAGAUGGUGUGGGGGCUGAUGCUGAGGCCAUUUGAGUUCAGCCAGGGUUUUGGGGAGCAGCAGGCCUGAGGGAGAAUGAGGAAAGGUGUGGGGAGGGCAGAGAGAUGAGGUGGUACAUGGGGCCUGGCAUGUGUGGGGAGAAGAGGUGUAGGGGAGAGGCCUGGUACAGGUGGGAACUUUCUGGGGGCAGUGUGGCAGAGGAUAGUGGGUUUGGGUCAGGCUGAGGACAUGGAGCCAAGUGGAGCUGCCUCUCUAGCCAGGAGCAGCUCAUCUCCAGGUGGUGACAAUCCCAGGAGGUGGUAGGUGACUGCUCUAGUGCAGCUGCCCUCACCAAAUGGGUAUAUUUCAGCCUGCCCUUGGCUGAGCUGUAUCUGGGUUGUGGCCAGAAGAGGAGAAAAAAAAUCUCAGGGGUUGAGCACAUGGUCUCCUAAACUGUACUCUUGGCUCUCAGUGGUGGGUGUUGAACUUGGUAGGUUGUUGAGCCUUUGUGUGCUUUGGUAUCUCCAUCUACGAAGCAGAGAUAACAGUUGGCUUCAUGCAGGGAUUAAUUAUCGCAUCUUGUAGUCACGUAUUUGUUUAUUUGUUUUUACUAUAGAUUACAGCUGGAGGAAUUCUAAACAGUCCACUUCUCCUUGUCAUGGUGUUUGAGCGCAUUGUGCUCCUGUCUGAACAGAGGAAAUCACUGAGACAUCUGCUGCUACUCAAACCGAAAGUGAAAUCCCUGGCUGUUGGUCUGGUUGCUGUCCUAAGGACAUGUGAAUGUUUGCUCCUGUUUUGCUCUGCAGCUCCUCACUGGUUCCACAGACCUGCUUUGUCACAGAGUGUCAGUAACUUUGUAGAAGUCUCUGCAUCCUCUGUUGUGCUUGGGAUCAGCUCUGGCAUCUGUCUGAAUGUAUGUACGUCCCUCCUGCACAGACUCUUACCUGCUGGAAAUGGACAGACACCAUUUGUGACUGAAUAUCCUGAGUCACCGAUUCCCAGCUGGCAUGUGCACUGCAGUUCCGUCUCUUCCUUUCCGACUGCACUCCCUAGAGGAGAUUGGAAACAACUGCAGUCGUCAGCUCCAGCGUGGUGUGUGCUCUUGCCGGGAUCCACACAAUUGGUGGACAACCCCUGUCUACGUCUAUGGGGUGAGCUGCAUGUGAUUUGUUACUGUAUGCCUGGUGUUUUCACACCGCAAAAUAGAACAAGUGUAGGAAUAUUUAAGAAAAAAAAUUCAGUUUCUUGAUAUUUACUAGAAAAAUGUCUACAUUGUGGAGAUGGUGAUAGGAUAUCUCCAUUAAAUUAUCAGUUGAGACAAGUGAUGAUGCCAGUAAUGCUCUCACAGGAGGAUUGUGAUAAUGGAUGAAAACUAAGAAUCUAGAGAGAUGAUGAAAGGUGAAGUAGUUACUCCCUACACUAGCAAAAUUCUGCUACCAGGAGCAUGGGUCCACCGUGCAGGAGCUGAAAGAUUAUCUGUUCUGUCAGACACUCUUGUGCUGUGUUUGUUACCCUGCUUGUGCAGUGUCCCAAAGAAAAGCUGCUUAAGCUCAGCAGGGGAAUUAUGCAACAUGUUGCUGUGUUAUUUCAUCUGACCAAAACAUUUUCACUGUGUAGUGCUUGCUGCUAGUCUUGUGCAUAGCACUGGGGGAAGCUGAAACACAAAACACUUCAUUGAGCUUUUUGAUCCAACAGGUCUUGACAUAUUGCUGCUGGACACAUCUCUGUGUCUGAUGUGAACUGUGACAGUUCCAUUCUGUCCUGCUAAAAUAACAGCAUAUUAAACAAUACUAUUCUGUCCAUGUCAUUUCCACCUAUUGACUAAAAAGUUAAAUUCUAAUUAAGCUAGUUUUAAUUUACAUGUCAUAAGAUAUUAGUUAAUGGUCAGCUGAUUUUCCUGGCAUGAAGAUUGCAAAGUGUAUAACACAGAUUAGUGCUUGUGUGGGACCAAAUGAGUUAAACCAGCUCUUUCUGCUGAAAUACCCAGUGAAAUACAGCGAUGGUCUGCAUAUCAAAUCUGUUUGCAAUAGGUCACCAGUGUUUGCCUGGUCACCAGUUCAUCCUGUUAGCAGGCACUGAUCCGGCUGUGGAGGAGAUAUGUGGCUUGUGCUGACUCAUGAAAGCAGGUGCAAGUUGCAUCAGUGAAGUAAGGAGUGGCUCACCUUAGAAGCAGGAUGUAGGUUUUAGUGUAAGAACUGUUAACAAAUCACCUUUAAAAGAACAUUGUGGGGAAAAAUACAGGGGAGACACUUUGAAAUCUGACUUGGUAAAUUCUUAUUCUUCUUGCUGCAUCAGGGGCUUGUUCCAAAUGGGGAAGGUGUGGAAUUGUUAACACCACUGAGGUGUCUUGGGAAAAUGUGCACUGUAGCUGCAGACAGCAGUAUCCUAAGGCACGUUUUCUGGGAGGGUUGGAUGACAGCUGUUCAUAAACUGUCAUAUAGUUACUCUCUUGUUCCUUCUUUAUAGAUCUGACUCAUUUCUCCCUGUCCUAAACACACCAAUUUGUUUGGUUUUUUUCUCUCCUCUCAUUUACCUCAUAUCUUAUAUCCUUAAAGAUUCCUUUUGUAUCUCUGGGCUUAAUUCUUUUAAAUCCAGUUCCUUUGACUUUUACUUUGCCUGUGCUUUGCACUUGCUACAGAGCCGUAGCAAACUUGGCAGCCAACCCUUGGGCACUCCAGAGAAAACAACUGUCUAGACCAGGCACCUUCUGCCUGAUGCCCUGGAUGUACCCCAGAGCUCCCAAGAAUUACUCUGUAUUCAGAACAACAUGUUGCUAUGCAAAUGAUUCCUUUCUGGGGUUCCUCUUACCUACACAGAGUUACAUGCCCCUGACUUCUCAGCAGGCACUAGUCUAAUGUUUAUUGAUCUUUUACAGAGGUCUGAUUCAAAGGAAGAUUGAUAAAAUCUUGUCCGGUGUUUUUGUGGACUCAUAAUUGCACCUGCCUCCUCCUAGGGAAUGAGGCAAGUGGGACUGAGGGAGCCCACAGAAUAAAUAGUGCCUUCUGCAGAACUGGAAAUAGUGCAAGCUGGAGGCCAUUACUGCAAAGGCCUUGCAGAGCCUCUGGUAUCCAGCAGAAUUCAGGAAGGUGUGUUACCCUUUUCUAAAAGGAAGGGAAAUCAAAUCUCGGUCUAAAGACUCCUAUGGCAUGGGAAGGGCACAGAAGCUUUAAUGCAAAGUUGCAAGCUGUGCCUGUUCCCAGUUAAAGCCCCUGUUGCCCUAGGCAAUCAUUGAGCCUGUCAGCAUCCUGCAGCUUUCAUACAGAGUUGUGACCAAAAUAGAUCCACAACUUUACAAUGUGGCUAAAAAUAGCUUGCAGGUCAGCUUUUUUCUCAAAGGUGGUGGUGACAUCAGGGGGAGAGCACUCUUGCUCCUGUUCAGUGCAGGUAGAACUGGAUAAACAAAGUGGGGACAGCAGCAGUUUAGCUGAAAAGCCUUGAGGAAAGAGAGGUGAUAAGGGAUGGGAAGGGACUAGGGAGAGAUGGGCUAAAGUGUCAAAGGCGUGGGCGGACUCACUGCUGCUGGCCAAGUUAGUGUGCUCAUACCCAGACAACUUCUCCCUGGGGUUUUGUUUCCAUGAUGUUUGAGAGUUAUCAGUCUGUUCCUGUCUCCUUGUGGCCCAUGUCAGGAUGUGUCACUGGAUGGGCUGGCCAGCCAAUGCAGCAUUUCUUGCUCCUCAUUUCCAGACAGUGAACACAGCCCAUGACAUCACCUCUGGCCAGCGGCAGAUCAGAGGCUAGGCCAUGGCAAUGUCAAGUGUGUUUUGCUGUGGCCAUUCAACCAGAGCUGAUCUUUUACAGUGCAAUUUGCAUGUGGAGAAAUCUGGAUGGCCCUCAGUUCUAGGGGGAUUUCGGUAUUUGUUCUUAGGCCAAAAAUAGGCUGUUUUUAUGGGGUCGAACUGUCUGUUUUUGUAGAGCAUUACAUUUUACCAAAGGAGCAAAGCUGCACACCAUGAUCCUCAGAGUUUUAGUCUCUGUUGUGUAUACUAAGUCUGGCCAUGGAGAUGAGUCUCAGCCAAGUCUGGAAGUUAAGUGCCUGAUUUGGAACGUUAUGGGAAUCUAAUGUAGGUUAUGUGAGGUUUGCCAUGCCUGCAGCUCCUGUGCUGCUGAGGUAAGUGUACUGCAGCAGGCUGUGCUAGCGAGAAUUUCCUUUGUGCUGCAGGUUUCAUGCCUGGUGCUUUCAUAGUGCUGAAAGAGGGGAAGGAGACAACAAAAAUGUGAAAAAUCGAGGCCAGGUCAUUACUGUCAGAUGAGGACAGAGUCCUGUAGCCAGUCAGAUGUGACAGAAUGCACUUGCUGAUGCUGCUACCAGGAAGCUUGAGAGAAAUGUGACUGAGUGAUAGCAUUGCGCAUGUGCCUUUGGAGGAAGGAGGCUAUGUGUGUGCUCUUGCAAUGCUUUUCUCUGCCCAGCAACAUCAUUGCUUCUUUUCCUGGUGUUCUGCUUAAGCAGCUGUUCUGCAUUUAUGAUACAAUCUAUUCUUCAUACAGGGCCAUCUUCACACUGAGCCACCUUCACUGUCACUAUCAGACGGACUGAUAAGGUUUGCUUUGAGUAAGCACUAUAAAUAGGGCAAAAGCACGAUAGUUACUCUUCUCUUAAAGUACUGUGAGUCUUGUAGGACCAGCCUCUGUCCCCACCUAUUUAAAAUGGCUCCUGUUGCCUCACAAGGGGGAGACUUCAGCCAAAUACAUCUCCAUAUUGACAAGUAUAGAGAGAAUUAUGCGCAUGAUCAGCUUGCUGAGAAUUUCAUUUGAUGUGCAGCUGGAAGUCAGCUGCCAAUAGAAAAGGGAGCUCUGCAUCCCUACUUGUGUGCUUCUAGUGCAUUUAGAUGCUACAGGCCACAUUAAUUGCAGACUGCAGUUAGAACAGGUUAUAGGUGAAAUCAACUCAGUACCAUCAUCAUGACCAGUUAGUACAGUCAUUUCUGAGCACUGCAGUUUCUCACCACAGCCUGCUUCUUCCCUUCAGUGAGAGGUGUUCCUUGGUCUGCCCUGCCCAGCUUGUAAAUGUAGCUCAUCAGUCUCUGCUUCUUUGCAAAUGAGCUGCGUAGGUAAUGGGAGGAGGAGGAGGAGGCAGCAGCACUGCAACCUGCCUAUCCCCAGCCGGUCAUAAAGGCUCCAUGCUCCUUAGGCUUUCUGAAGUUAUUUGCCCCAUGAAUUGUGUGGGUAUAAAACUUAGUUGUUUCCUUAAAUGCUCUACCUUUUGCACCAGGUCACUUCCCAGUGGGGAAAACAAGCUGUUGAUGUAGUAGGCACUCAGCUUGUCGUUUGGAUAAGAUCCAGAGGCGAUUAGUUUGGGUGCAGCAGUAUGCUAACACAGGCAGAAUGGACCCAGACUGGCCCCUGUCGAGACUGGGGCUAUCUCCUCACUCUCCCCACCUCUGUCCACGGCCCCUGGCUCAGUGUGAGCACCGGUCCCUGUCCCUCUCCCUGCCUGCACUGGCACACCCAUAGGGAAACAGAAUUUGCACCCCAUGCUGCUUGCCCGUGUCCUGAUCGGUACCAACCCUCCCAAAGCAAACAGUGAUUUGCAUGUCUGCUCUGACUCAGCUGUGCUGAAGGCAGGAAUCAGUAAUAAAUCCGGUUCAGUAAAGUCCAUAGGUAAGGAACAGCCUUCUAUAGCAGAUACUGAGGCAUUUUAAAGGAACUUGACUCUGUCCCAGGAAGUGCAGUGAAGUGAGCAAUGCUGCAUUGGGCAAGAAAACCUACCCAGGAACCAUUAAUCUCUCAACAUCUGUAGCCCUGUGGUUGUAAGCACUGGGGGUUGUCUUCCCCUGCCUGCAAUUACUAGCUAGCAACUGGGAAUUUAAAGGAAUCUGGGCUAUCUUUAGGAAGCAAGUACCUACUCUUUGCCUCCUCUCAGGAAGCAAGGUCCUUCAUUACAGCCUGUCAUGGCAAGGGGCUUGCAGAUAAGGAGGAAGGGCAGGAAACCUGCUGGGCUUUGCUUCUUUAGUAGCUCUAAAUAUUUUCCAUAGUCUUAGCACUGUGAGUCAGCAUUUCUAGAGCCUUGACUUGUUUGCAGCAGCAAUCAGUGAGAUGGUAUAAGGUAAGUGGGGUGUGGAGGUAUGUUUGUGUCUAAAAUGAGAAAACCUUUGCCCAGGCACAAGUGGAGAAGUUACCAACUGUAUUUUCCAUUUGUGACUAACAGGAAGCAAAGGAAUGGAUACCCUUAAAGAGUAACUGCUGUGGAGCCAUUUCCAGGGUAAGGAAUUUCCUAGUGUGAGUAAGGGAAUUGAACUUCACAAAACUGUAAACAUCAUGUUUCAUAGUUCACUUGAUACAUAUAUAUAUAUAUAUAUAUCUACAUAUUUAAAAAAAAAGACUGCAAAUACUUAGGAUUAUCAGUAUAGUGGGAUAAAGGUAACGCUUCCCAUCUGAAGUGGUAUGGAUUCAUUUUGCAUUGGCCUGGCCAGACAGGCUGUGGGGCAGAAAGACCCCCAGAAGUGUAGAGGUAACAAAUCAGUCACUGAAGUUUUCAUUCAGAGCCCAUACCUACCCCGGAAUAAAGAACAUCAGCCGUGGGGUAUCUUCUGUCACCACAUGCAAGCUUUUUCCCUAUGCCUGACUGGUCAGCCUGGCUGGAUCUAAUGGCAAAGGGAGGUGACAUCAAAACCAAGAUAUUUUAGAUCUGCAACCUCAGUUCUGCAAAAGUGUUUAUUUUGAAAAUUCUAGUUUCCAUAGCAAUGUAGUGCUGUUCUCUCUCAUCUUUCUCCCAUUAACCCAGUCUUAGCAGCCAUUAGAAAAUUAUCAGUGAGGCAAACCUUAGCAUUUUUUAAGAUUAAGUGAUUUUAUAUGUGUUGGUUCCUUAGUGAAUCAGAGGCAUUUAGUCAAGGAUUGACUCACAUCCUUUCCUGGGGCUCACAUGAGGUCUAUUGCAGUGAAAAGAUGAUAAUGAAGAGUGAAUAUUAUUAAUUGAACUUGAUGAAUGAAUUAGUAGUGAGGGGGUCUUAUGUCUGGAAUUCUGGUUCAGUUAUAUGUCUUUAGAUUUUACUUGGGUUCCACUAUAGCUUCAUUAGGACAUCAUAUUUUUGUUUCAUACAUGUAGUAAAUAAACCCUUUUGUAAGGGUUGCUGUGUACUGCUGUUCCACUGCUUUUCUCCACCCCAGAGGUGACUUUUGGACACAGUUCCCCUUCCCAUUGUCAACAGAGCCAGUGCUUGUGGCUCAUUCCUUCAUUCUUCUUUUCAAUACCUACAAAAAAUUCAGUUAAGAAAACAAGGCAAUAUCUUUUUUUAUUUUGUUUUGUUUGUUUGCUGGUUGUUGUUGUGUUUUUUUUUUUCCUGGUGCAUCUGGCCUUUCCUGGCCAAGGAACUAUUAGUUUUGCCAGAACAGUUAUGCAGGUUGGAAUGUAAAAAUCCCAGACUUAACCCUGCAGCAGUAAUGGCAUGCAAAAAACCAAGAUGUGGAGAUGAUUUAUUCUGAUGGUGUACCUUGCCUUUUAAGGAGAUGAUUUAGUGAGUUCUUUUGCCUAUAUGAACUGUAUCUCCACCUGGGGAGCUAUGCCAGAAUAGCUGUUCCAUAAACCCUUUGCUGUGAACAACAGCCUUUGUCCUGGAAUUCAGUCCUCAUGAGUAGGUAGGUACAGAAACUGUGGGAGAACGAGAGUGGCACUGUGGACCAGAUUCCAAGAUAAGGAAGUAGGGCUAAAUACAGGCAAGGGUUAGCCUUUGACUCCUGCAGUCCUCACUUAGUAACAAAAAUACCUGAACUGUAUAAAAUAGAACGCAGAUCUAGUAAGUUGAGGAUGCAGGAGCUCUUCUGUGGAAUCUGGAUGUUAACAGGCAUCUGCUGCACAGUGCCCAUUGCUUGCACUCCCUGUCAGUCUGACUUCCUCCCCAAAUAGAGCCAUCAUCUGUCUUGUUUGUAUUCAGUCCAUGAGUUCUUCAGAGGAGAUGGGUUUUCAAAAGUAAGUUCUUCACUCUGCUUCUAUUUGGGCUCCCCCAGGCCCUACAUAUCUGGCAGAAAUAGCCUCUUUAAUCCCAAGAGGUAUAAGCUCACUUGUGCUCCAAAGAAUAGUAAUCCUAACAAAACCUCUAUUUUAGAUGUCAAAUAUUUACUUUUAGCUGAAUUAUGCCCAUUCAUUGAGAAAACUAAUAAUACUUUGCUCUUCACAGCUCUUCACAAUGUAGCUUAUCAGUGAAUCCUGAUAUAUACUUCAUGCAAAACAUUAAAAGGUGGUUGCUUAUCUUUUCAUUUACCUUUUUUCCCCCCCUUCAUGUUCCUGCAUUCCUAUGUUUUGAGAUAAGGUGAACAAAAGUUCUCCCAACUGCUAUCUCUAAGCUAUGCAUUCUGCAAUACCUUCACUGUGUUCCUUCUGAUUCACUCCCUCCAAGGUGAAUGGUUCCAGUCUUUUUAAAUUUCCUUCAGACAAGGGCUCUUCCCAAUCCCUGAUCUUGUAGUCAGCCAUCAUUGCCCUGUGUCACAUAAUGAAGCAGCAGUCACAGUAAUAACUCAAACAAUAACCCCUCCAGAUCUGGUGCUCUGUCAGUGCUGAACAUUGUUACAUUAGAGAUCCCGAGUGAAACACAAGCAGAGGAGUCUCCAUGUAUCAAAUGCAGACAUACCCAACCCACAUUUAAAAACUAAUAUUUUUUUUUAAAAAUGUCCUGUUUCAAAAUACCUGCUUGGUAUCCAAAUGAAAUGAGAAUGAAAUGUGACUAGCACCCUUGUGACUGUUGUGUUGUAUAACAAGAUAAAAAGUGCUUGGGAUUUGUGGAUUGAGCUUUUUUUCAUUUGUCUUCCAGAGGUCAAAGUCCACUGCAAGCAGUGACUGAUACAGUUCCCUGUGUAAGUCAGGCUGGACUGCCUGUGCCUCAGGUUCUAACAGCAGGGGAGUUUGUGCAAGAGCACCUUGGUAGGUGUUUGUGUGGAUUUCUCUGUGGUCCCUGUGAUGAUCCUAGGAAGCAGGAGGAGAUCCAGAAUUGUCUAAAAGCCAGGAAUCUUUGAAAUCCCAGAGAAGUAAUAAUGAGCGAUGUGGCUGAACCUGCUAGCCUGCUUCCCAUUCUGCUUCUUGUAUGUGUCCAAGAAGCUGCCUCCAGUUGAUACAAUUGCACCCUAGUAAACAAUUUUGCAUGCAGCUAUGGGCAGCAGAUGUUACUCAUGCCUGUGUGAACACUUCAGUGUUUUUACAACAGGGAUGAUUGAGUCCUGUUAGACAAUGGAUGUACCCACCAGAAGUCCCACUGGUUACAGCCAUUCUGUUACAGCUUGCUCAAAACACUUUGAAGGAUGGUCACGCCAUCCUUCUUUGGCCACUCAAGGGGAUUGACUCACAAAUAUGAGCAAAAUAAAAUUAGAUGGCUUAAGUGGCUGCAACCCCAGCUGUGUCCCCACUGCCCAAUUCCCAGAAGGUCAUCCCUGUAGCCAGGCUGGCUGUGGAAGGCAACUCCUGAGCUGCUGUAGUGACAGCCCAUUCUUCAGGGUGUUAAUAUUUGUCUGGCUCCUCUGUGAAACAGUUUAGGAUGCUUAACCAGAAUAAAAAUGUGCACUUUAUCAUCUGAAGAAUUAUUUUUUAGUUUAAUUUCUCAAAUGGGCUCUGAGAAGUAGCAGUGUUGCUGUGAGGGCAGGGCAGAGAGAUGACCUUCCCUUUUGGGAGCAGCCAUUACGUCAGUUUUGCUGCCUCACAAAACUAUACCCUGUGGUUAUUUUUGGUGCUAGACUGCCUUAAUUUUCUGGAGAGUGAAUGAAGGAUUAGCAUAGUAUGCUUAUGACAUUUGGAAACUAAGGUUUCAGGAAAAAAAAAAUCAUAAUUCAGCGUGUGCUAAAAUGGAAAUGCUUAAAUUGCUAGGGAUGGGAAAGAUGAGUAAAACAUGAUUUUUUUAAUAAUUUUUACAAUUCAGCUAGGGGGUUAAAUCCUUUUUUAAUUUGUUGGGUUUUGCUGCUUUUUAAGACCUCUAACCCAAUGCCUACUAUCCAGCUGCCUCUAGAGAGAGAAGUCUUUAAAGAGACCAGCUUUGUACCUAUAAAUAAUGUACACAGCAGUGUACAAAAAUGGAGUCAAGGAGAAGCUCCUCCUUACCUGAAUGUAACUGCAGCAGCUCUGUGAGAAUAGCUGUGGUCAGGCUGUGAGCAGCACUCAUACCCUGUCAUCCAUCUUGGCUAAACUGCUUCUAAUUCUGAGAUUCCAUCACUUGAAUAUCAACUGGUAAAUCCCAACUGCCUUGUACUCAAACACAUUAGAUGCCAGCAGCCAAACGUGGCAAGGUUUGAACAGUGUGGUUAUAAUCCUACUUGGAACUAAAGGUCUGCUAGAGUGCUUUGUUAAGUUGGAUGUGUUGGAACAUGGAGAAUUUCUCAACUCUGAAACCCUCCUAUAAAUGAAAACACUGUGGCAAAAAAAUGUAAAUACAUGCCACACAUAUUUUGUGUCAGAGCCCUUCCCAAUAUCUAUAAAUAUGGUAAUUUUGGUGUUUCCCAGUUUUGAGUUUUAAACAGGAGACAGACACAUGAAAUAUUACAAAGCAAGCAUUUUAUUUUUUUCAUGGAUUAAUUUUAUAAUUUCACUUUUAACUUACCUGAAAACAAUUAAUGGAAACUAAAUGUAGUGUUUUAAAGAGGAUUCCCUUUGAAAGGAAAUAAUUUGUUCUUGAAAAAAUAACUUCAAUAGCUUCUCAGUUUAACUGCAUUUUAAUAUGAAUACAAAACUCAUCCCAGGUCAGACUCUUCAGGAAAACUUUCUCAUGAUUCCUGUAGCAGUUGAUUCAUUCCUUGCUGCCUUAAUUUUGCAGUUUUAAAUGGCAGGUUCUCUGCAAAGCCAUCCACUUCAAAGCUUCAUAAAACAGAGCUUUGAAUAAAUUACUGAGUUAGAAAUUACACUGGUUGUGCCCAGCUUUGUGCCUGGAUGUGGGAAUACUUGGCACUGGGUGUGGAAUUCCAAGGAAAAUUGCCUCUUUGCUGGCUUGCCAAAGAGCAAUAAGAAGGAAAACUGCUGCAGAUGAGCAGACACGGAAAUCUCCAGCUUCCCUUUCCAGAGAACACAUCCUGAAGAACUGCUGAAUAUUAAUAUUAUAACUGGUGCAACACUGGGCAAACAGUGGGAUUAACAGGAACUCCUACUUCUGGAGGGGACGUGUCCCACCUGGUCACGGGGCAGCACUGCCUGCUGGAAUUACUCUUACCUUUAAAAUGCAUCCCUGAGGAUGCAAUGUGGAAUCAGUGGGAAGUGGGGAAGGCCCACCAUGUGUGGACACACCAUGUUGGGGUGUGGGAUGCCCAUGCUUCAUGAGGCCCAGGCUGUAUUAUUUGGGAUUUUUUUUCUCUCUUUUGCAAGCUUUAGAUAAUAUAAUACUGAUAACAAGAUACUUCUAAGCAGUGCCAUAGUUGUUUUGUCUUAGACAGCCCACCUUCCUCUGUAUUCAGAUUUCUGGUCUGUGUGUGGAGAUGAUUUGUCUAUAAUUGUUUGCUUUCUUCAGAGUCUUUUGAAGUUUAAAUCUUCAAGCCAGCUCCCUAUAUUAAAAAUAAAUUCUUCCAAGCCACCAAUAAAAUGUCAGCUGUGAUUAAA
Long non-coding RNA from Haemorhous mexicanus (house finch), 11488 nucleotides. RefSeq lists it as uncharacterized. The record is from RefSeq and is a predicted model, not a curated record. NCBI's taxonomy places the organism in Eukaryota, Metazoa, Chordata, Aves, Passeriformes, Fringillidae. The transcript is spliced from 4 exons.